AAAUUCUCUGUUGAUUUUUAUCUUGAGGAUAACAAAGAAAACUUUGUGUUGUUCUUUGAAAGGAUUCAAGAAUUCUUGGGAGAUUUUACAAAAGUUAGUUUUAUUUCUUCUUUACCUUCAUAUAAGCAUGUUUGAAUGUUUUCUCUAAAUUUUAUAUGUUUCUAGUUGAAUUUCUUUUGCAUGACGUUCACACGCUUCCGCUAUGGGAAUUUCAUUUCUUCAUGUUUAACUUUAGAACAAUAUGUAUGCUUGCACAAAUUUAGCUUCAUAGACAUGUUGAUAUCAUAAAAGUGUAAAUGAAUUAAUUUCUCAUAUUGUUUAAAAGAAUAAAAUACAAUGUAAUUUCGGUAGCAACAUAUGCUAUACAUUCUGUCAAAUACUAUAGAAUUAAUAUGGAAAUAAUAGUACUUGUCCUCUAGUAUGUACAAUACACUAUAUAACUCUAUAAAAUAAAUCCACUUAUCAUAUAAUAUUUAACCAAUAAUUCAAAUUUAUUAAAUUUGAGAAAAACAAAUAACAUAUUUUGAUUGAUAGCAAUAUAAAGAAGGUAAGAUCAACCCUGAGAUUCUUCCCAAAUUAUAAAAAACUUUUUGAAAGAUUUAUCUUGAUCUCUCUUGGCCGAGUGCAUCAUCGAGAGAGUGCGUUUUCAUUAAAAAAUUGAAAUUGAGGUUAACUCUUCUCGGGCCAAAUUUGUCAUGAGAGUCCUUGUUGGGAUUUAUGUGUUCUAAAGUCUUCUUUGAUCCGAGAUCAUACAAUAACCUUGAAUUUUUUCAAUUAAUGCACAAAUUAAUAUUGCAUAAUCAAUGAUCCUCAGCCAAAGUUGCCUCUAGAUAACCCCAAGAUCAUACUAAAUAAGCAUUAUGUCAAUGAUAUUGUUAAUUUUUUCAAUUAUGUCAAUGAUCUCGGGCCAUUGUUGCUCUAAGAUGACCCCAAGAUCAUACCAGAUAAGCAUUAUGUCAAUGAUAUUGUCAAUUUUUUCAAUUAUGUCAAUUUUUCCAAUUAUGUCAAUUUUUCCAAUUAUGUCAAUGAUUCUAGGCUAAUAUUGCCCCGAGAUGGCCAAAGAUCAUACCACAUAAGCAUUAUGUGAAUGAUAUUGUCAAUGUCUCCAAUUACGUCAAUGAUUCCAGGUCAAUAUUGCUUCAAGAUGACCCUGAGAUCCAACUACAUAAGCAUUAUGAUGUUAAUGAUAUUGUCAAUUUUCCUAAUUAUGUCAAUGAUCCCGGACCAAUGUUGCCUCGAGAUGGCCCGAGAUCCAACUACAUAAGUAUUAUUAUGAUGUCAAUGAUAUUGUCAACUUCCCCAAUUAUGUCAAUGAUCUUGGACCAAUGUUGCUCCGAGAUCCAACUACAUAAGCAUUAUGUCAAUGGUAUUGUUAACUUCCCCAAUUAUGUGAAUGAUCUCAUAUCAAUAUUGUCUCAAGAUGGUCUUGAGAUCCAACUAUAUAAGCAUUAUUUGAAUGAUAUUGCAUAUUUUUAUUAAUAAUGUUACAAAAUUGCAAUUAGAAUUCGUAGACUUUUCUACCAAAAGAGAUGUUUACAAGUUAAUGACUUGGAUCAAAUAUCACUAUUUAAUGACUCUGAUUAAGUGUCACUAUUUAAUUACUGUUUUUAAUAAUAGUUAAAUGAUGAUGCAAUGAAAGUGUCAUAGCAUGGGAAAGUUUGUAAUUUUCC
This 1670-nucleotide long non-coding RNA is filed under the name Cucumis sativus (cucumber). RNAcentral's name for it is "long non-coding RNA (CSAT_LNC000780)". Lineage: Eukaryota; Viridiplantae; Streptophyta; Magnoliopsida; Cucurbitales; Cucurbitaceae. The record is from RNAcentral.